UUAGUAAAAUGUCGAAUGAGCCUGUGUUGAAAAUAAAAGAAUGGAAAAAGAAAGGAUCAAAUAGAGGAAGGAAUUUCAUAAAAAUGUCAAUAAAAAGAAAUAGAAAGGAAAGUGAGUGAACAAAGUAAGAAAAAAGUGGGCAUGAUAAAAAGAGAGAAAAGAGGGAAUAGUGGCCCCUAGACAAAAAGGCAAAAUAAAUAGUGUGAUGUAAGAGUUCAAGGAAAGGUAUAGCCAUGUUGAUCCCAGAUGACAUCCUACCCUAACUGGAUCCUACAUUACAAGCUUAGAAAGACCUUUG
Molecule: long non-coding RNA, 298 nt
Filed under: Capsicum annuum
Lineage: Eukaryota; Viridiplantae; Streptophyta; Magnoliopsida; Solanales; Solanaceae
Description: long non-coding RNA (CANN_LNC017870)
Source: RNAcentral